RNAcentral lists this ribosomal RNA (492 nucleotides) under Pseudomonadales bacterium 'ARUP UnID 551'. RNAcentral's name for it is "bacterial SSU rRNA". It matches the Rfam family "Bacterial small subunit ribosomal RNA", at positions 30 to 506 of the family's 1533-position model. Lineage: Bacteria; Pseudomonadati; Pseudomonadota; Gammaproteobacteria; Pseudomonadales. The record is from RNAcentral.
AUUGAACGCUGGCGGCAGGCCUAACACAUGCAAGUCGAGCGGUAACAGAGAGAAGCUUGCUUCUCUGCUGACGAGCGGCGGACGGGUGAGUAAAGCCUAGGAAUCUGCCUAGUAGUGGGGGAUAACUUGCCGAAAGGUAAGCUAAUACCGCGUACGUCCUACGGGAGAAAGCAGGGGMCUCUUCGGAGCCUUGCGCUAUUAGAUGAGCCUAGGUCAGAUUAGCUAGUUGGUGAGGUAAAGGCUCACCAAGGCGACGAUCUGUAACUGGUCUGAGAGGAUGAUCAGUCACACUGGAACUGAGACACGGUCCAGACUCCUACGGGAGGCAGCAGUGGGGAAUAUUGGACAAUGGGGGGAACCCUGAUCCAGCCAUGCCGCGUGUGUGAAGAAGGUCYUMGGAUUGUAAAGCACUUUAAGUUGGGAGGAAGGGCUUACGGUUAAUACCCGCUAAGUUUUGACGUUACCAACAGAAUAAGCACCGGCUAACUUCGU